RNAcentral lists this unclassified non-coding RNA (275 nucleotides) under plant metagenome. Its description in RNAcentral is "partial contains small subunit ribosomal RNA and internal transcribed spacer 1". The stretch from base 1 to 46 matches the Rfam family "Eukaryotic small subunit ribosomal RNA", at positions 1786 to 1831 of the family's 1831-position model. The record is from RNAcentral.
AAGUCGUAACAAGGUUUCCGUAGGUGAACCUGCGGAAGGAUCAUUAUAGUACAACGGAGGGCACCCUGGGCUGUCGCUAACCUUUGAGAAAAGGACGUGCACGCUCGGAGCGCUCUCUCACAUCCAUCUCACACCCCUUUGUGCAUCACCGCGUGGGGGCCCCUCCUCUUUGGUCUUGUUCCGGAUGGGCGGGGGGUUUCACGUUUUUAUACGAACAACCCAUUAAUGCAUGUGUAGAAUGUCUUACUUUUUGCGGUCACACGCAAUCAAUACAA